Molecule: ribosomal RNA, 189 nt
Filed under: uncultured bacterium N30
Lineage: Bacteria
Description: partial 16S ribosomal RNA
Source: RNAcentral
UCUCCUCUAYGCGACGGUGAGUAUGCUUAGGAACUGCCUAUAGUGGGGACUACWUUCGGAAACGGAAUUGGCUAAUACCGCAUACGUCGUAMGGAABAAAUGACAGGGGGAUCUUCGGGACCUUNNCCUAWYAGAUGWGCCUAAGUCGGAUUAGCUAGUUGGUGAGGUAAAGGCCUACCAAGGCGACGA